GACGAACGCUGGCGGCGUGCUUAACACAUGCAAGUCGAACGGAAAGACCCUGCUUUUGUUGGUUUCUCGAUUGGCGAACGGGUGAGUAACACGUGAGUAACCUGCCCUUGUCUUUGUGAUAACUUCUGGAAACUGGGGCUAAUACCGGAUAGGAUCUCCUGCUGCAUGUUGGGGGUUGGAAAGUUUCGGCGGUUGGGUAUGGACUCGCUGCUUAUCAGCUUGUUGGUGGGGUAGUUGCUUACCAAGGCAUUGACGGGUAGCCGGCCUGAGAGGGUAACCGGCCACAUUGGGACUGAGAUACGGCGCAGAAGCCUACGGGAGGCAGCAGUGGGGAAUAUUGCAGAAUGGGCGGAAGCCUGAUGCAGCAACGCUGCGUGCGGGAUGAUGGCCUUCGGGUUGUAAACAGAUUUCGCCUGUGACGAAGCGUGAGUGACGGUAAUGGGUAAAGAAGCACCGGCUAACUACGUG
Molecule: ribosomal RNA, 468 nt
Filed under: uncultured bacterium
Lineage: Bacteria
Description: partial 16S ribosomal RNA
Rfam family: Bacterial small subunit ribosomal RNA
Source: RNAcentral